GGCGAUGUAGCUCAGCUGGUAGAGCGGAGGACUCAUAAGCCUUAGGUCCGGGGUUCGACUCCCCGCGUCGCCACCA
RNAcentral lists this transfer RNA (76 nucleotides) under Verrucomicrobiota bacterium. RNAcentral's name for it is "Verrucomicrobia bacterium (groundwater metagenome) tRNA-Met". It matches the Rfam family "tRNA". From Rfam's summary of the family: Transfer RNA (tRNA) molecules are approximately 80 nucleotides in length. Their secondary structure includes four short double-helical elements and three loops (D, anti-codon, and T loops). Lineage: Bacteria; Pseudomonadati; Verrucomicrobiota. The record is from RNAcentral. RNAcentral also lists the same sequence under 2 other names.